This 522-nucleotide ribosomal RNA is filed under the name Triticum aestivum (bread wheat). Its description in RNAcentral is "partial small subunit ribosomal RNA". Lineage: Eukaryota; Viridiplantae; Streptophyta; Magnoliopsida; Poales; Poaceae. The record is from RNAcentral.
AUGCCACUUUAUGAUUUUUGUGGGGUUUGUUUGAUCCCUUUCAAGGGCUUGAUAGAGGAACCACAUCGCGAUGAUGUGGAUGGGUUUAUUGAUACCAUCACUGUAGGUGAAAUGAGGAAGGUUUCCGAUGCACGAAUAACUAGCAUACAUUUUCCUGUUUUACGCUACUUUGCAAUAUUUGCUACUCGUUGCUUAAUUGGUUGCGGAAACUGUGGAAACCUUAGUGUUCCUGAAAUUAUUAUUUUGUUCCAUGGUUUAUUCUGUGGUAACUCUAUUAGUAUGGGUGGUAUUAUUGCUAAACGGUUAAGUCUGAACCAUACAAAGGGCCCCAUCUUUGGAGGCAUCUAUGCUUCAUGCCUAGCUGCACAUUUUAACAUACCUAUUAGGCAUUAUGAGAAGGAAGAAAAAUUGUUGUCUCCUGUUUAUUUAGAUUAUAAGAGUAUGGUGGCACAUGACUUUAUUGUUAAGAAUAGGGAAGGGGAGCUUAAAUACAAAUUGUUCUUUCAUAAACAUCAUCCUUAG